UGCGCAGGCGGGCUUGUAAGUCAGUGGUGAAAUACUGCCGCUUAACGGUAGAACUGCCAUUGAUACUGCGAGUCUUGAAUAUGGUUGAGGUAGGCGGAAUGUGUUGUGUAGCGGUGAAAUGCAUAGGUAUGACACAGAACGCCGAUUGCGAAGGCAGCUUACUAAGCCAUUAUUGACGCUGAGGCACGAAAGCGUGGGGAGCGAACAGGAUUAGAUACCCUGGUAGUCC
Molecule: ribosomal RNA, 229 nt
Filed under: uncultured bacterium
Lineage: Bacteria
Description: partial 16S ribosomal RNA
Rfam family: Bacterial small subunit ribosomal RNA
Source: RNAcentral